Molecule: ribosomal RNA, 110 nt
Filed under: Monomastix sp. OKE-1
Lineage: Eukaryota; Viridiplantae; Chlorophyta; Mamiellophyceae; Monomastigales; Monomastigaceae
Source: RNAcentral
AAAGACUUAUAUUGAAGACAAUGAAACACCCGAACCCAUUUCGACCUCGACUGUGAAACUUUUCUUCGCCGUAUGUAUUACUUCAAAGUGAGAGACACGGUUAAGUCUAU